Molecule: small nuclear RNA, 103 nt
Filed under: Camelus dromedarius (Arabian camel)
Lineage: Eukaryota; Metazoa; Chordata; Mammalia; Artiodactyla; Camelidae
Source: RNAcentral
GUGCUCACUUCAGCAGCACAUAUACUAAAAUUGGAACGAUACAGAGAUUAGCAUAGCCCUGUGCAAGGAUGACAUGCAAAUUCGUAAAGCGUUCCAUAUUUUA